This is a ribosomal RNA of Bison bison bison, 120 nucleotides long. The record is from Ensembl. NCBI's taxonomy places the organism in Eukaryota, Metazoa, Chordata, Mammalia, Artiodactyla, Bovidae.
GUCUACGGCCAUACCACCCCAAAUGUGCCCGAUCUCAUCUAAUCUUGGAAGUUAAGCAGAGUCGGGCCUGGUUAGUACUUGGAUGGGACUGUAAGGUAGUGAUAUGUGUUGUUGUAAGCC